GGGAGCAUGUGGUUUAAUUCGAAGCAACGCGCAGAACCUUACCAGCCCUUGACAUCCCGAUCAGGAUUAUCAGAGAUGAUGAUUGUCGGUUCGGCCGGAUCGGUGACAGGUGCUGCAUGGCUGUCGUCAGCUCGUGUCGUGAGAUGUUGGGUUAAGUCCCGCAACGAGCGCAACCCUCGCCCUUAGUUGCCAUCAUUAAGUUGGGCACUCUAAGGGGACUGCCGGUGAUAAGCCGAGAGGAAGGUGGGGAUGACGUCAAGUCCUCAUGGCCCUUACGGGCUGGGCUACACACGUGCUACAAUGGUGGUGACAGUGGGCAGCGAGACCGCGAGGUCGAGCUAAUCUCCAAAAGCCAUCUCAGUUCGGAUUGCACUCUGCAACUCGAGUGCAUGAAGUUGGAAUCGCUAGUAAUCGUGGAUCAGCAUGCCACGGUGAAUACGUUCCCGGGCCUUGUACACACCGCCCGUCACACCAUGGGAGUUGGCUUUACCCGAAGGUGCCGCGCUAACCGCAAGG
Molecule: ribosomal RNA, 516 nt
Filed under: uncultured Hyphomicrobiales bacterium
Lineage: Bacteria; Pseudomonadati; Pseudomonadota; Alphaproteobacteria; Hyphomicrobiales
Description: bacterial SSU rRNA
Rfam family: Bacterial small subunit ribosomal RNA
Source: RNAcentral